AAUUGGGGUAAUUCCUCGAAUUGGAGGUAGAGGCUACCAAUUCGAAUAAAAUAGUGGGAGAAACCUUUUGAUUAAAGUCCAAAUCCUUAGGUUUAAUGAAUCAAUUACUAAUUAGGUUAUGAUUUUCUUUUGUGCAGAUAUGGCCACUUCCCUAUCGCUAAGAUCAUUGUUGGACAAUGAUAACUUGGUGGGAUCCAACUUCGAUAGCUGGUACCGAAAGUUGAAGAUAGUCCUGGAGCAUGAACGGAUCCUAUAUGUGAUAAUGGAUCCUGCACCUGAGAAGCCAGCUGUCAAUGCACGUGGAACAGUUAGAGACACUU
Molecule: long non-coding RNA, 320 nt
Filed under: Elaeis guineensis (African oil palm)
Lineage: Eukaryota; Viridiplantae; Streptophyta; Magnoliopsida; Arecales; Arecaceae
Description: long non-coding RNA (EGUI_LNC045779)
Source: RNAcentral